UGAAGGGGAGUGUUGAGCUCUAAAAUAAAUAAAUGUCCCUUGUGUUUGUGAAAUAGUGUGAAACGUAGUUCUUCAAAUCAAUGCUAUGAUGUUUUUGAAAAAUUGACACAACUCAUCCCGAGUCACCUUAAUGGACUCAAAACUUGACGUGCGCAGAUGGUAAAUACCAGUUAAAUGCCGGACUCACCAAGGCAACUUUGACUAUGAUAAAUUUUUUUUUUUUUUUUUUNNNNAUGAUAAAUUCUUUUUUUUUUUUUUUUAUAGGUAAUCAAAUAAUUUUAUUACUUAAAAGAGAAUACACGGGGGGGGUACAAUCACUUUAAGCUCUUAAGGAAAAACAUGAAAUUAGGCAACCCAUCUACAGGAUUUCUAGCCACAGCAUUAAACCAAGAAUACAAGGUAAAGUACCAUGAUAAAUUCUUAAAAAGAAUUUUGAC
RNAcentral lists this long non-coding RNA (437 nucleotides) under Olea europaea (common olive). Its description in RNAcentral is "long non-coding RNA (OEUR_LNC011723)". The record is from RNAcentral. Lineage: Eukaryota; Viridiplantae; Streptophyta; Magnoliopsida; Lamiales; Oleaceae.